AGUGCUGGGAUUACAGGCCUAAACACCUUCCUCCCCUUUCCCUAUGUCCUGCACCUCUUCUUACCUAAGUGUAUCGGCACCUGAUUGUCCAGCUGAAUCAUUUUAUUCCGCGUGGGAGCCCGAGUUGGUGUGAUCGUUUAUAGUACUAUGUGUGCUCACCCUUGAGUGGUUGUACUAUUGUGUUAUUAGCCCCCUUUUAUGGAUGGAGGAACUGACACACAGUUGUUGGGGGAAAAGCCAGAAUCCAGAGUCACACAGCCUGGCUCUGUGUUCUCCGACACUGCUGCCUGCACUGCGGCUGCUAUCGGGGAGCAGGUGCUGGGAACCUGCUGCUUAGGGGACAGCUAGUGUGGCUGCAUCUACAGGCCCUAGUAUGGAACACAUUGCUAAGAAGCAGGCUCCUAGCACAGCCCCGUGGACUGUGUUGGUGGCAUUCAGAGGCCACCUUCCUGCCUCGGCUGCAUUCACUAAAAUGAAAAUUACCAGGACUUUGUGCUUUUCAGGGAAAGCCUGGCUGCCUCCCACUGUGUCCUUGAAAGCUUGGCGUUCCAGCCCUGCCUGGUUAUCACCACCUAUGAAAUCCAUUUACUUGUUACACCAGCGGUUCUCAAGUCUGGCUGCACACUGGAGUCAGCUUUAAAAAAUACUGAAGCUUUGGGUUCCACCCUGAGGUUCUGAAUUAAUUGACCUGGGGUGAGUCCUGAUAUAGAAGCUUCAGAAGCCUCCCAGGUGAUUCUAAUGUGGCCAAGUUUCGGAAUCAUUGCUUUAAACUUUCAACUUACCUUUUUUUUUGAAGACAGAGUCUCGGUUUGCUGCUCAGGCUGCAGUGAUCACAGCUCACAACUCCUGGGCUCAAGUGAUCUCUCCACCGCAGCCUCCUGAGUAGCUGGGACUACAGGGACCAUGUCACCAUGCCCAGCUAAUUUUUUACUAUUUUUUUUUUUCAGCUGGGUGCAGUGGUCUUAAAAACCGAGGUUUCAAGACAGAAAUUUCACCUGUGAAAUGACAGCUUCACCCAAGCCCCUGGAGUUCCAGCCUGCUGCUGGCCAUUGUCCCUUCCCACUGGCAGCCCUGUGAAUUUCAGACGUGCUUAUCCAGGCCCCACAAUCAGAGGCCAGUUAUUACUUUUGAGAAAGGCUCUCACUGUGUCACCCAGACUGGAGUGCAGUGGUGCGAUUUUGGCUUAUGGCAGCCUUGACCUCUGGGGCUCAAGCAAUCCUCUGGCCUCAGCCUGCUGAGUAGCUGGGACCAUAGCUACGCCGACAUGCUUGGCUAACUUUACCUCUCCUUAUUGGUUCUGCUUCUCAGGUUAAAUCCUGACAUUAACAAUGAACAAGAAUGUCCACAAGAGGGCUCCCCAGCUCCCUGACUGUGCAUUGGAACGCGCAACUCAAGAUACUUCUUUUAGGGAGAAAAAUCAAGUAAUAGAAUAUGGGACCUCUUAAGGUGCAGAUGGCAACCACAGUUUCUCAUCUCUUUAUUUUUUUUGAGACGGAGUCUCACUCUUGCCCAGGGUGAAGUGCAGUGGUGUGAUCUUGGCUCACUGCAACCUCCACGUCCUGGGUUCAAACGAUUCUCAUGCCUCAGCCUCCUGAGCAGCUGGGGUUACAGGCGCAUGCCACCAAGCCCAGCUAAUUUUUUAUUUUUUUUCGAGAUGGAGUCUUGCGCUGUCACCCAGGCUGGAGUGCAGUGGCGCAAUCUUGGCUCACUGCAACCUCCGCCUCCUGGGUUCAAGUGAUUCUCCUGCCUCAGCCUCCUGAGUAGCUGGGACUACAGGUGCCUGCCACCACGCCUGGCUAAUUUUUGUAUUUUUAGUAGAGAUGGGGUUUCAACAUAUUGGCCAGGCUGGUCUCAAACUCCUGACCUUGUAAUCCACCAGCCUCAGCCUCCCAAAGUGCUGGGAUUAGAGGCAUGAGCCACCGCACCCGGCCU
RNAcentral lists this long non-coding RNA (1932 nucleotides) under Homo sapiens (human). Its description in RNAcentral is "HSALNT0001373". Lineage: Eukaryota; Metazoa; Chordata; Mammalia; Primates; Hominidae. The record is from RNAcentral.